GCCUGGCUGGCUCAGUUGGUAGAGCAUGCAACUCUUGAUCUUGGGGUUGUGAGUUCAAGCCACAUGUUAGGCA
RNAcentral lists this transfer RNA (73 nucleotides) under Ursus americanus (American black bear). It matches the Rfam family "tRNA". From Rfam's summary of the family: Transfer RNA (tRNA) molecules are approximately 80 nucleotides in length. Their secondary structure includes four short double-helical elements and three loops (D, anti-codon, and T loops). Further hydrogen bonds mediate the characteristic L-shaped molecular structure. tRNAs have two regions of fundamental functional importance: the anti-codon, which is responsible for specific mRNA codon recognition, and the 3' end, to which the tRNAs corresponding amino acid is attached (by aminoacyl-tRNA synthetases). tRNAs cope with the degeneracy of the genetic code in two manners: having more than one tRNA (with a specific anti-codon) for a particular amino acid; and 'wobble' base-pairing, i.e. permitting non-standard base-pairing at the 3rd anti-codon position. RNAcentral also lists the same sequence under 2 other names. The record is from Rfam by way of RNAcentral. Lineage: Eukaryota; Metazoa; Chordata; Mammalia; Carnivora; Ursidae.